Molecule: long non-coding RNA, 5216 nt
Filed under: Sus scrofa (pig)
Lineage: Eukaryota; Metazoa; Chordata; Mammalia; Artiodactyla; Suidae
Description: lncRNA (ENSSSCG00015028043.1)
Source: RNAcentral
CGCUUAGUGCCUGACAGACAGUCAGCAUCACCAUCUAGAGCUGGGAAUGCAGUUGAUAUCUGAGUAAAAUGGAAUUCUUUAGAAAAGAAGAAAUGGGCGCUGGGCAAGUAAUAAUCAGGGUCAGAAUAAUCUUAGAAGUCUCGUGCAUGAAACAAUAUAAAACAUUUCAUACCGACCAAGAUGGCUAUUAUCAAAAAAAAAUAGAAAAUAAAAAUAUUGGCAAGGAUUUAGAGAAAUUGGAGCCCUCGUAGAUUACUGAUGGGAGUGUAAAAUGGUGUAGCCAUUGCAGAAUGGUUUAGCAGUUUCUCAAAAAAGUUAAACAUAGAAUUACCAUAGAUCCAGCAAUUCUACUCCUAGGAAUAUACCUAAAAGAACAGAAAGCAAGGGCUUAAAACGAUACUUGAACACUCAUGUUCCUAGUAGCAUUACUCACAAUAGCUAAAAGGUGGAAAUAACUUGUGUCCAUCAGCAGAUGAAUGGAUAAACAAGAUGUGGUAUAUAAUACAAUGUGAUAUUGAACCACAAAAAGUAUUGAAGUUCUGAUACAUGCUGUUUAACAAGGAGGACCCUUGGAGUUCCUGUUGCAGAAAAGCAGUAAGGACCCUAAUAAUUUUUAUGAGGAUUCGUGUUCGCUCACUGGCCUCGCUUAGUGGGUUGAGGAUCCUGCAUUGCCUCAAGUGGCUGUGGUGUAGGUCCCAGAUGCACUUUGGAUCCUGUGUUGCUGUGACUGUGGCAUAAACUGGCAGCUGCAGUUCUGAUUUGACCCAUAGUGUGGGAACUUCCAUAUGCCACACCUGUGGCCCUAAAAUAAAUGUACAUACCUUGAAAACUUUAUGCUAAGUGAAAUAUGCCAGACAUAGAAGGAUACCUGUUCUGUGAUUCUUUUCUUUCUUUUUUUUUUUUUUUUUUUUUCUUUUUUUUUUUUUUUUAUUUUUUUUAAGUGAUUUUUUUUUCCAGUGUUAACUUUUUCUCUUUUUUUUUUUUCUUUUAUGGGGCCCCCCCCCCAGCAUAUGGAUGUUCCCAGGCUAGGGGUCUAAUCAGAGCUGUAGCCGCCAACCUACGCCAGAGCCACAGCAACGCCAGAUCGGAGCAGCAUCUGCGACCUACACCGCAGCUCACGGCAAUACCAGAUCCUUAACCCACUGAGCUAGGCCAGGGAUUGAACCCGCAACCUCAUGGUUCCUAGUCGGAUUCAUUUCCGCUGAGCCACGACGGGAAACUCCAUGAUUCUUAUAUAAAGUGUCCAGAAUAGGCAAAUUCAUGCAUUAGAAAGUAGAAUAGAAUUACCAGGAGCUGGGCAAAAGGGUAAAUAGACAGUUGUUUAUUGGAUACAGAGUUUCUGUUUGGGAUGAUGAAGACAAUUCAGGAAGUAAUGGUGAUACUUACACAACACUGUGAAUAUGCUUAAUGCCACCAAAUUGCACAUUAUAAAUGGUUGCCGUGGCAAAUUUUGUUAUGUAUAUUUGACCACACAAAAGAACUAUGCAUAACCAACUUGAGGUCACAUGUUAGUCACUUUAGGAGCUUGUAAAUAAGCUUCUUCGCUGUCCUCCUUAUCCUGUACACCAAUAAAGGAGGGACCAAAUUUGGAGUAAACAUCUCAUGCCAACUACCAAUGUCUGGUACCAAUUCCCAAAGAACAACUCUCAAAUGUUGGUGUUUAUUCCCCAUUUAAAACAAAAAUGAAACAAACUUGGUUUCUGUAGUCAUAUAAGCUUCUGAUAAACUAAAUUCCGUCAUUCCUAUAAAAUAAAUAUUACCACCAAACAGAGGGGCAACGUAAGCUGCAUCUUUCCAUGAGUUUCUAGUCUUGAUAUUUAUUCUCAAAUUUCUUCAUCAACUUACUGAUAAGUUGGAAGGAAGCCCAGGUAUUGAGGAAAAUCCUGGAUCUCUCUUGCUUUAUUUUCUGAAUGAAAUAAAUAACGUAUAUAGUUCUGAAAUGGAGAUGGACAUGAAAGCCUUAUUUUUGGUUGUAAGAAAACAGGAAAUAACUAAAUGAGUUUUGAUCCUUUAUAUUGGACAUAGGACCUUCUUACCUGCCUGCCUCUGUUUUCAAACAAUUUGGAUGCAGAAAUUCCGAGCUCUUAUAAAUUCUUUUUUUUUUUUUUUUUUUUUUUGUAUUGAAAACCAAAUAAAUGCAUGUUAUAGACUCUUAAAGCACUAAGGGAGGACAAAUAUCUGAUUGAUCUACUCAUUUUAAAGAAUUAGGCACUUGAUGCCUAUGGCUCAGAGCUACUUAUAAUCCCAGUAUCUUGUGAAUGGUUAGUGGUACAACAAAGCCCGGGAUGUGGGUUAUUUGUUCUUUUUAGUUGGAUUUAGUCAAAUAGUCAAAAGAUUAUGACGAGACUGUAUUAAAAAUAUAGAGCUAUAAUAUGAUAACAUCAUACCAACCCUUGGUUUUCAUGCCAGUAUCAUUCUAUAAGAGGAAGGAUGCCUAUUUGGCCAGGGCCUCCAUUCACAGAAGAUCUAGAAUCUUUUUUUUUUUUCUUAAGGGCUGCACCUGUGGCUUAUGGAAGUUCCCAGGCUAGGGGUUAAAUCAGAGCUGUAGCUGCUGGCCUACAUCAGUCACAGCCAUAGCAAUGCCAGAUCCAUCCCCUGUCUGCAACCUACACCACAGCUCAUGACAGUACUGGAUCCUUAACCCUCUGAGCCAGGCCAGGGAUUGAACCCACAACCUCAUGGACACCAGUCGGGUUUGUUUCCACUGAGCCACACCGGAACUCCCUGGAAUCUUAGGUUUAGAUGUUUCUCCUUAAUUUUCUCUGGGGAGUACAAGGAUAUUACCUAAUCUUUUCAGGUUAAAAGUGUCAAUAUGUUAAUAUAGGAAGUAUUUUAAAAACCCCUUUUUGGCAUUUUUUCCACUUUUAAUGUCUCAGAUUCUCAAAGUGGACAUCACUGGAAUCUUUCUGGAGCCCUGAGUGGUCUUGUCUGUAGCUGUUGGCCACAUAGGCAUGUGCUGCUCACUGUGGAGAAGUAUGCUCUGCUGUUUGAUAGCUCUCACUGUCAGAAAUUCCAGCUGUCCAGACCCCAGCCUCCUGACUCAUAAUAGGCUUUCAGAAUCGCUCAGGACUCAAGAGUAACUGAACCAAAUCUAGAAACCGUUAGAAGAAACCAGCACGGCAGAGAAGAGCACAGGUUGUGGAUUAGAGAAGUUUCACUGGAUGAUGCACAGAUUGGCUGUCGAUAUUUUUAAAGGACCUGUGAAACCCGAGAAGCAUUCAAGGGGCGGGGAUGAGGCAGAAGCUACCAAGAAAAGAAAAGCAGAGGAGAAGAAGGAAGAGAGUGGGCGAAGAGGAGCAGCAGAAGUGAAGAAAGAGGACCAGGGAGAGGGAUGGCAGAGAGUGGGCUCUCUGAAGAGAGAACACCCAGAACCCUGAAAAUUAGCAUUCUGUGAGGGAAUAUCAUGCCUCUACAGUGUGGUGUGUGGAUGGGGCAGGGGAGCAGGUAACGGAGAAGGUGCACUGGAACUUCAUCUCAACCAUCAAUCCAAAGCCAUAGCAGCCAUCACACUUCAGCACUUAAUACAAGAUGAACUUGAUGGAAGUGUUAUGGGUUGCAUUUUGAUAGCUUUGUAAUGGAUCAAUCAGACUAAAUUGAAAGAAAAAAAAUCGUCUUUAGUUACCUCAGUUGAAACAAAGCCAUGUACUUUAAAGAAAAAUGCAGAGUGGGAGUGGAUCUUCAAAGCUGUGGGGCUCAAGGCAUCUUUAAAGAUGAAUGUCCUUCCCUUCUGGCCCCUUCCUCUCUAUCCCUCUCUUCUCUCCCCUUCCCCUCCUCCCUCUGUCUCAGCAGACUCUUCACAUCUAAUUUACUCUCUGUUCACCACCAAGUGACUUCAUCCUUCUCCUCUCUGUAUCUUUUCUGGUCCCUCCAAACUUUGGAUUACACAUGGCAUUAUGUCACCAUUAGCUCACUGCUGACUGGCACAGUUCUUCGGUGUUUCCCUUUAUACAUUUUGGAAACGAAGAUGCCAAACGGCUUAACUCACCCUUUCAGAGCUACACGAUGUGUCAUAUGCUAGAUUAUAAGUCUUCUGGCCGUUCAUCUUGGUGCCAAUUUUCAAGCUUCUCACCUGGGGGCAGGGCCAGGGUAGGGGCACAGUGGUAUGAAAUGUAGGUGCUUAGGCAAAGGAGAUGCCUAAGUGGUUGGGAUGAGAAAUUACCCAGGAGAGAUCCUCAGACAUCUCUAGUGCAGGCAUAGCUGCAAAGCAUUGUAAGAUAAUGGGCACAAAUGGGGUAGAACAGUGCUGAGUUGUAAUGCUGUCGAAUACUGUGGGUGCAACACAGUCUCCAGACUCCGUUUGUAAAAGACAAGACCAGGCACAUAGGAAAGUUGUGUUAGCUGUAAAAGAACAAACAAACAUUUGAAAGGUUGAUGAAUCACUGCACAUUCGUUCAUCUCCCUUAUACGAUAUCAAAUCUCAGAAAGGCAGCUGUUCACAUUUUCGGGUGCCUGGUAAAUCUUCUCAAGCGGCUGAGGAUUCAAUAUCAUGCAUAUGACAAAAUUAGGCAAGUCAACUGUGUGUUACAUGAGUGGCUCAUUUCGCCUGAUGUUCUAUUGCAUUUGCAGCUGCAGCUGCGUCUCAGACACGUAACAUUAACUGAUGUUCAUAAUGAUAACACUGAGUCAUUAAGAAAACCUGUAUUAUGUCUGGUACAGUAGACUUGAGAAGUAGAGAGAUGCAGUGGAGAAAGAACUAAGAUUCAGGAGUUCCUGCUUAAUUGCAGACGUGGAGAGAGGUGAGCUGCUUAUGCCUUUGCCCUUCAGCAACGGGAUUCCUGUGAGGCAGGCACAGUGAUACCCAUUCUACAGCUGAGAAAACAUGUUUAGAUGUGUUAGUAAAUUGUACAGAAUCCGGUUAGGAACGCAAAUCCAUCUUACUCCAGAACUUGCGUUCUCUCCUUACACCACCAAAUUUGCUGGGUGUUUUCGUUUGUUUGUUUGUUUUUGUUUUUGGUAGAGUCUAACAUGUGGCACAGAUGAUGUUAUCUACAAAACGGAAACAGAUCAUGGCCAAGGAGAGUACAUUUGUAGUUCCCAGGGGGGACAGCGGAGGGAGUGGAAUGGGCGGGCAGUUCCAGGUUUUUGGAUGCAAACUCUUAUAUUUGAAAUGGAUGAGCAAUGGGACCCUACAGGACAGCACAGCACAGGGAAAUGUGUGUGCCCGGGGUCACAUUGUUGUACAACAGAAAUUGAAGAAAUGUAAAUCAAUUACACUU